UACGUAGGGUGCGAGCGUUAUCCGGAUUCACUGGGUUUAAAGGGUGCGUAGGUGGAUUAGUAAAUCAGUGGUGAAAUCUCCGGGCUUAACCCGGAAACUGCCAUUGAUACUAUUAGUCUUGAAUACCGUGGAGGUCAGCGGAAUAUGUCAUGUAGCGGUGAAAUGCUUAGAUAUGACAUAGAACACCAAUUGCGAAGGCGGCUGGCUACACGAGCAUUGACACUCAGGCACGAAAGCGUGGGGAUCAAACAGG
RNAcentral lists this ribosomal RNA (253 nucleotides) under uncultured bacterium. RNAcentral describes it as "partial 16S ribosomal RNA". It matches the Rfam family "Bacterial small subunit ribosomal RNA", at positions 524 to 776 of the family's 1533-position model. The record is from RNAcentral.